This 396-nucleotide ribosomal RNA is filed under the name uncultured Pseudomonas sp. RNAcentral's name for it is "bacterial SSU rRNA". It matches the Rfam family "Bacterial small subunit ribosomal RNA", at positions 988 to 1382 of the family's 1533-position model. Lineage: Bacteria; Pseudomonadati; Pseudomonadota; Gammaproteobacteria; Pseudomonadales; Pseudomonadaceae. The record is from RNAcentral.
GCAGAGAACUUCCAGAGAUGGAUUGGUGCCUUCGGGAACUCUGACACAGGUGCUGCAUGGCUGCCGUCAGCUCGUGUCGUGAGAUGUUGGGUUAAGUCCCGUAACGAGCGCAACCCUUGUCCUUAGUUACCAGCACGUUAUGGUGGGCACUCUAAGGAGACGUGCCGGUGACAAACCGGAGGAAGGUGGGGAUGACGUCAAGUCAUCAUGGCCCUUACGGCCUGGGCUACGACACGUGCUACAAUGGUCGGUACAAAGGGUUGCCAAGCCGCGAGGUGGAGCUAAUCCCAUAAAACCGAUCGUAGUCCGGAUCGCAGUCUGCAACUCGACUGCGUGAAGUCGGAAUCGCUAGUAAUCGUGAAUCAGAAUGUCACGGUGAAUACGUUCCCGGGCCUU